Molecule: ribosomal RNA, 136 nt
Filed under: Chytridiomycetes sp.
Lineage: Eukaryota; Fungi; Chytridiomycota; Chytridiomycetes
Description: partial small subunit ribosomal RNA
Rfam family: Eukaryotic small subunit ribosomal RNA
Source: RNAcentral
CUUCUUAGAGGGACUAUGAAUGUCAAUUCAUGGAAGUUUGAGGCAAUAACAGGUCUGUGAUGCCCUUAGAUGUUCUGGGCCGCACGCGUGCUACACUGAUGAAGGCAGCAAGUUAGUUCUCCUUGGCUGGAAUGUC